Molecule: transfer RNA, 74 nt
Filed under: Stegodyphus mimosarum
Lineage: Eukaryota; Metazoa; Arthropoda; Arachnida; Araneae; Eresidae
Rfam family: tRNA
About the family: Transfer RNA (tRNA) molecules are approximately 80 nucleotides in length. Their secondary structure includes four short double-helical elements and three loops (D, anti-codon, and T loops). Further hydrogen bonds mediate the characteristic L-shaped molecular structure. tRNAs have two regions of fundamental functional importance: the anti-codon, which is responsible for specific mRNA codon recognition, and the 3' end, to which the tRNAs corresponding amino acid is attached (by aminoacyl-tRNA synthetases). tRNAs cope with the degeneracy of the genetic code in two manners: having more than one tRNA (with a specific anti-codon) for a particular amino acid; and 'wobble' base-pairing, i.e. permitting non-standard base-pairing at the 3rd anti-codon position.
Source: Rfam by way of RNAcentral
GCCUUCGUGGUGUAGUGGUCAAGCACGCUCGACGCGUAACCGAGUGGUCCGUGGUUCGAUUCCCGGCGAAGAUG